RNAcentral lists this unclassified non-coding RNA (245 nucleotides) under Hevea brasiliensis (rubber tree). The record is from RNAcentral. Lineage: Eukaryota; Viridiplantae; Streptophyta; Magnoliopsida; Malpighiales; Euphorbiaceae.
CGCAGUCGGGGAGUUGCUAAGGAACACAGGGGAGUUCAUGAUGUCAAGAUACAGGGAGGUUGCUGAAAUUGUUCUAAGAUACCUGGAGCACCGAGAUCGCCUAGUUCGCCUCAGCAUAACUUCAUUACUUCCUCGAAUUGCCCAUUUCCUGCGUGAUCGAUUUGUGACUAACUAUUUAACGAUAUGCAUGAAUCAUAUACUUCAUGUCCUCAAAAUACCUGCAGAACGUGCCAGUGGGUUCAUUG